This 21-nucleotide non-coding RNA is filed under the name Caenorhabditis elegans. Lineage: Eukaryota; Metazoa; Nematoda; Chromadorea; Rhabditida; Rhabditidae. The record is from RNAcentral.
UAUCCUAAUGGCUACUGCAAU